AUUGAACGCUGGCGGCAGGCCUAACACAUGCAAGUCGAGCGGAUGAAGGGAGCUUGCUCCUGGAAUCAGCGGCGGACGGGUGAGUAAUGCCUAGGAAUCUGCCUGGUAGUGGGGGAUAACGUCCGGAAACGGGCGCUAAUACCGCAUACGUCCUGAGGGAGAAAGUGGGGGAUCUUCGGACCUCACGCUAUCAGCUGAGCCUAGGUCGGAUUAGCUAGUUGGUGGGGUAAAGGCCUACCAAGGCGACGAUCCGUAACUGGUCUGAGAGGAUGAUCAGUCACACUGGAACUGAGACAAGGUCCAGACUCCUACGGUAGGCAGCAGUUGGGAAUAUUGGACCAUGGGCGAAAGCCUGAUCCAGCCAUGCCGCGUGUGUGAAGAAGGUCUUCGGAUUGUAAAGCACUUUAAGUUGGGAGGAAGGGCAGUAAGUUAAUACCUUGCUGUUUUGACGUUACCAACAGAAUAAGCACCGGCUAACUUCGUG
RNAcentral lists this ribosomal RNA (484 nucleotides) under uncultured bacterium. RNAcentral's name for it is "partial 16S ribosomal RNA". It matches the Rfam family "Bacterial small subunit ribosomal RNA", at positions 30 to 507 of the family's 1533-position model. The record is from RNAcentral.